This 23-nucleotide microRNA is filed under the name Heligmosomoides polygyrus. Its description in RNAcentral is "hpo-miR-10065a-5p". Lineage: Eukaryota; Metazoa; Nematoda; Chromadorea; Rhabditida; Heligmosomidae. The record is from miRBase by way of RNAcentral.
UGGAGUACAUCUGAUUCCCGCAC